This 229-nucleotide ribosomal RNA is filed under the name uncultured bacterium. RNAcentral describes it as "partial 16S ribosomal RNA". It matches the Rfam family "Bacterial small subunit ribosomal RNA", at positions 568 to 796 of the family's 1533-position model. The record is from RNAcentral.
CGCGUAGGCGGUCUUGUCGGUCAGAUGUGAAAGCCCGGGGCUCAACCCUGGAAGUGCAUUUGAAACAGCAAGACUUGAAUACUGGAGAGGAGAGCGGAAUUCCUGGUGUGGAGGUGAAAUUCGUAGAUAUCAGGAGGAACACCGAUGGCGAAGGCAGCUCUCUGGACAGAUAUUGACGCUGAGGCGCGAAGGUGUGGGUAGCGAACAGGAUUAGAUACCCUGGUAGUCC